GGCCCCGCCCCGGGCCGCGCUAGCACAAACUCCCACGCGAGUGCUUCCCCGCGUCUGGGCCGGGGAGCCCGGUUCUCUGCGCUCCAGCCCUCAGGCGACCGCGCCGAGGCCGCUGGCGCCGUGGUGGGGACCCGCGCCCCUCCGCGCACUUGAAGCUCAGCGCGGCUUCCGAUUGGCGCGCGCAGCGGGGGCCCGGGGAGGGCCGCGGGCUCCGCCAUUGGCCAAGGGGUGCACCUGUCACCGUCCCGACCGCCCGCCGCCCCGCCCCCGCGCCGCGAGGUCCUAAGCAGCCCGGACUGUUGCGCGGCGCUGGCGGGCGGGGACACCGCCGGGGAGUGGAUACUCCGAGGCUCAACCUGGGGCCUCUGCCCGCCCUCCGCUGGGUGCAGAGGCGGACAGCUGGCACUGGCAACCCCCGGGCCCCUGGAGAGCCCCGCGGCGGCCCAAGACCCGCUCCCAAGACACCUGGCCCCCUCCGGACUUGGUUGGUCCCCGGAGCCAGCUGCGCGCGUCCUCUCUGGCCUCCUUGUCGGCGCUGGAGUGGGUCCACGUCUGCCUUGCGGAGCGCGGUGGUUCCACGCUUCUGAGCGCCCACGCUGCGCAGACCUGGCUGCUCUGCGAGGCGACGGCAGCGCACUGAAGACUGUGGUGUUUCCCAAGCCCUCCCUGCUCCCGGGUCUCCAGGGCGCAGCAGGGGAGGGUUUUGUCCCGGUGACCAAAGCUCUGCAGGUCGAACCUUAUGUGCUCUGGAAAGGCCCUGCAUUUUCAGGCCUCUUGUUAAAGAACUGAAGAGUUCCUGCAGCUGCCCUUCCUUCCACUACUUGGGAAGGAGAUGGUGAUUUCUACAAACCAUCACAAAAGAAAACGCCGUUGUAGUCUGUGUGUAUUUACAUCUGGACUUACACACACAACUGGGAACCCGUGAGGACUGAGGAAAAAACCUGUACAUUCACAUAUUCACAAGAUGCGAGGCAGAUUCACGCAGGGCCCUCUGCAGACUGUUGGCAGAAACAAGGUAGCCACCAAACACAUGCAUAAGCUGGACUUUUCCCAGAAUGCUGCAGCAGAACUACCCUCCAGAUAGACACCAGCCUGCAGGCCACAGUGCUACGUGAGUCUUGCAAAGAGGAGAUCUUUACGGCAAGGCUGAGAGCACUGCCUGCAUGCUUUACCAGAGCCCAGCCUCCAGCCUCCAUGGAAAAUGUGUUUUGGAAUCAACACUCUUUCCAAAGGCUCCACACUGCUCUCUGGUGGCAUGGGCCUGGGCGCCCAGGCACCCCUUUAGAACCCACCUGUUCCCCCCACCCACCCUAGCGGGAGGAGGAGAGAGUUACACUGACAGAUACCGGCAGCUCUGCAACCCGGGAACAAGGCAGACAACAUACAACUCGACAGAGUCAAAGAAGGUGGCAUCCAUUGUGCCUGGAUGGUAACUACUGCCCUGCGGGCUGCUGGGUGGGUGAAACACACAGGGAAGAAGCACAAAUACACACACAGAUGUGGCUCAGGGA
Molecule: long non-coding RNA, 1511 nt
Organism: Pongo pygmaeus (Bornean orangutan)
Lineage: Eukaryota; Metazoa; Chordata; Mammalia; Primates; Hominidae
Exons: 3
Source: RefSeq, a predicted model, not a curated record